Molecule: non-coding RNA, 279 nt
Organism: Pelobates cultripes (western spadefoot toad)
Lineage: Eukaryota; Metazoa; Chordata; Amphibia; Anura; Pelobatidae
Source: the annotation of a GenBank genome assembly
GCUAAGUGGUGGUUUUAACACUAUAGGGUCAGGUAUAUAUGUUUGUGUUCCUGACCCUAUAGUGCUCCUUUAAAGGGAGUAGUGUUAGCCGGAAUAAAGCAGAAGAUGAAGUGUCAUUGGAAUGAUGUUACAAAGGCAUUCUUUAAAUAAAUAUGUCUAUUGGUGUAUAGUAAUAGAUUGGUAUUAUAAUCUCGUAUCUAGGUUUUGGGAGGUGCAAGAUAGAGUGUUAAAAAGAAGCACAAUGCAGCAUUUUUUGAUGGACCGAGAGGUGCUGUGCUG